UGGACAGUUUUCUUCGAGUAAGGAACUUAGGAACACAUCAUCCAACUGAUCGAUUGAGGUCAAGUUAUCAAGAUGAAAUUCCAGCUGCUCAGGUGGUGGAUAUGAGGACCAUUGAUCCAUGUCACAGUAUGAAGCUUGGUUAGCUGCAUUAUCAAAAGGCUCCUCGUGAAUUCCAAAGUUUUUCAUGUCAACAUCAUUAGAUAGGCCAUUCCCAAUCA
RNAcentral lists this unclassified non-coding RNA (218 nucleotides) under Hevea brasiliensis (rubber tree). Lineage: Eukaryota; Viridiplantae; Streptophyta; Magnoliopsida; Malpighiales; Euphorbiaceae. The record is from RNAcentral.